GUGAGGAAUUUUCCGCAAUGGGCGAAAGCCUGACGGAGCAAUGCCGCGUGAAGGAUGAAGGCCUAUGGGUUGUAAACUUCUUUUCUCAGAAAAGAAUUAUGACGGUAUCUGAGGAAUAAGCAUCGGCUAACUCUGUGCCAGCAGCCGCGGUAAGACAGAGGAUGCAAGCGUUAUCCGGAAUGAUUGGGCGUAAAGCGUCUGUAGGUUGUUUAAAAAGUAUUCUGUCAAAGAUUAGGGCUUAACCCUAGAUAGGAAGAAUAAACUGUUAAGCUAGAGUUUGGUAGAGGCAGAGGGAAUUCCCGGUGGAGCGGUGAAAUGCGUAGAUAUCGGGAGGAACACCAAAGGCGAAGGCACUCUGCUGGGCCAAUACUAACACUGAGAGACGAAAGCGAGGGGAGCAAAUGGGAUUAGAAACCCGUGUAGUCC
This 426-nucleotide ribosomal RNA is filed under the name uncultured bacterium. RNAcentral describes it as "partial 16S ribosomal RNA". It matches the Rfam family "Bacterial small subunit ribosomal RNA", at positions 354 to 796 of the family's 1533-position model. The record is from RNAcentral.